GAGUUUGAUCCUGGCUCAGAACGAACGCUGGCGGCAUGCCUAACACAUGCAAGUCGAACGAACCCUUCGGGGUGAGUGGUGCACGGGUGCGUAACGCGUGGGAACCUGCCUUUAGGUUCGGAAUAACUCAGAGAAAUUUGAGCUAAUACCGGAUAAUGUCUUCGGACCAAAGAUUUAUCGCCUUUAGAUGGGCCCGCGUUAGAUUAGAUAGUCGGUGGGGUAAUGGCCUACCAAGUCGACGAUCUAUAGCUGGUCUGAGAGGAUGAUCAGCCACACUGGGACUGAGACACGGCCCAGACUCCUACGGGAGGCAGCAGUGGGGAAUAUUGGACAAUGGGCGAAAGCCUGAUCCAGCAAUGCCGCGUGAGUGAUGAAGGCCUUAGGGUUGUAAAGCUCUUUUACUAGGGAUGAUAAUGACAGUACCUAGAGAAUAAGCUCCGGCUAACUCCGUGCCAGCAGCCGCGGUAAUACGGAGGGAGCUAGCGUUGUUCGGAAUUACUGGGCGUAAAGAGAACGUAGGCGGCUAUCCAAGUCAGGGGUGAAAUCCCGGGGCUCAACCCCGGAACUGCCCUUGAAACUAGGUAGCUAGAAUUCUGGAGAGGUUAGUGGAAUUCCGAGUGUAGAGGUGAAAUUCGUAGAUAUUCGGAAGAACACCAGUGGCGAAGGCGACUGACUGGACAGAUAUUGACGCUGAGGUUCGAAAGCGUGGGGAGCAAACAGGAUUAGA
This 727-nucleotide ribosomal RNA is filed under the name uncultured bacterium. RNAcentral's name for it is "bacterial SSU rRNA". It matches the Rfam family "Bacterial small subunit ribosomal RNA", at positions 9 to 782 of the family's 1533-position model. The record is from RNAcentral.